RNAcentral lists this ribosomal RNA (492 nucleotides) under uncultured bacterium. Its description in RNAcentral is "partial 16S ribosomal RNA". It matches the Rfam family "Bacterial small subunit ribosomal RNA", at positions 29 to 507 of the family's 1533-position model. The record is from RNAcentral.
AUUGAACGCUGGCGGCAUGCUUUACACAUGCAAGUCGAACGGUAACAGGCCUUCGGGUGCUGACGAGUGGCGAACGGGUGAGUAAUACAUCGGAACGUACCCAGAGGUGGGGGAUAACGCAGCGAAAGCUGUGCUAAUACCGCAUGUGAUCUGAGGAUGAAAGCGGGGGACCGAGCAGCAAUGUUUGGCCUCGCGCCUUUGGAGCGGCCGAUGUCGGAUUAGCUAGUUGGUGGGGUAAAGGCCUACCAAGGCGACGAUCCGUAGCUGGUCUGAGAGGACGACCAGCCACACUGGGACUGAGACACGGCCCAGACUCCUACGGGAGGCAGCAGUGGGGAAUUUUGGACAAUGGGCGCAAACCUGAUCCAGCAAUGCCGCGUGCGGGAAGAAGGCCUUCGGGUUGUAAACCGCUUUUGGCAGGAACGAAACGGUGCCCGCUAAUACCGGGCGCUAAUGACGGUACCUGCAGAAUAAGCACCGGCUAACUACGUG